UGCUGCAUGGCCGUCGUCAGCUCGUGCCGUGAGGUGUUGGGUUAAGUCCCGCAACGAGCGCAACCCUAUCUUUAGUUGCCAUCAUUGAGUUGGGCACUCUAAAGAGACUGCCGGUGGUCAAACCGGAGGAAGGUGGGGAUGACGUCAAGUCCUCAUGGCCUUUAUGACCAGGGCUACACACGUACUACAAUGGCCGGUACAAAGGGCAGCGACACAGCGAUGUGAAGCGAAUCCCGAAAAGCCGGUCUCAGUCCGGAUUGGAGUCUGCAACUCGACUCCAUGAAGUUGGAAUCGCUAGUAAUCGCGGAUCAGCACGCCGCGGUGAAUACGUUCCCGGGCCUU
This 342-nucleotide ribosomal RNA is filed under the name uncultured Desulfocapsa sp. Its description in RNAcentral is "bacterial SSU rRNA". It matches the Rfam family "Bacterial small subunit ribosomal RNA", at positions 1039 to 1382 of the family's 1533-position model. Lineage: Bacteria; Pseudomonadati; Thermodesulfobacteriota; Desulfobulbia; Desulfobulbales; Desulfocapsaceae. The record is from RNAcentral.